AAACAUCCGGUUGUUCUCCUCGCCUCCCUCGUUCACCUCUCAGAUCCCAAUCGAUUCGGCCGCUGUGGAUGGAGGACGACGCAGAGGGGGACAGGUGUUGUGUUUGCAAGCAUGAGAUCGUUGUAUGUCGUGAUGCACAAGGUCCACCGUGUCACGUAGGGAUACCGAUCACAAAGUUCUAUCGUUCCAAAAUGUUUGUUCCAUGCGCUAUCCGGCAUAUCAUAGAAGAAUACAUCCAUCGCGUUGAACCAGAUGCGAUGCAAGGAGACAUAAAGACUUGGAC
Long non-coding RNA from Hordeum vulgare subsp. vulgare (domesticated barley), 283 nucleotides. RefSeq lists it as uncharacterized. The transcript is spliced from 3 exons. Lineage: Eukaryota; Viridiplantae; Streptophyta; Magnoliopsida; Poales; Poaceae. The record is from RefSeq and is a predicted model, not a curated record.